Prionailurus viverrinus (fishing cat) is the source of this 1241-nucleotide long non-coding RNA. RefSeq lists it as uncharacterized. The record is from RefSeq and is a predicted model, not a curated record. The transcript has 5 exons. Lineage: Eukaryota; Metazoa; Chordata; Mammalia; Carnivora; Felidae.
AGCCCGGCACAAAAAUGUUUCCGUCUGCGUGCUUAUCCUUGGCCACGCGGUGGCUCUCAUUAGGUACACAAAGGUAUCUUUUUCCUCGUCGAAGUGAACUUGGCUAAUUACUGCGAUUCUCAGGCAACCGGGAUGGAAACCGAGAGUUGAAGCGACUUUAUAGGCACACAUAGUUCCAUUUGGUGUCAUCUUUUGAAGCUGCCUCAAGGCCAAGAAAAGACAGAGUUGUGAUCCUCUGAGAAGGUGGAAAAGAAGCCGAAAGACAAUUCAAUGGCAAGAGUGCUGGAAAGUGGAGAAAGAGCAUAGACCACAAAGUUGGAAGUAUUCAUGGAAGACAGAAGAGUUUGCAGGGACAAAAAAAAGCAAUUCAAACAAAUCUGCAUUUCUGUAAAUGACAAAGCCAAAAGAGAUAUGGAGCCCUCCUUAACUCUCCAACUCUAUUCAAGAUAAAAGAAUGGUCUUCAAUCCAAGACAGAUGCAGAAAAGAGCAUCUAGCUGCUUAACAUGAGAGCAGGGUUGUCGGCUUAGAUAAAUGACACCCCAGAGUCCUGAAAGAAGUUGCAGAUGUGAUCACAGGGCAAUCCGACCGGGAGGAAUCGGGGAAACAGAGAGCAGGCAAAAGACCGGAGAUGGGCAAAUGAGUUCCAGAUUUUCCAGCCCAACAGGAAAAGCGACUUAUGGAUCUGUGCACUGGUGAAGUUUAAUGCUGAGCUUCAGCGAAACUCCAAUGAAUGAUUAAAGGGGCUUUGUGCGUAUUUAUUAAAGAAAAGUGGUGACUGCUAGGCACUCUCUUGAGUUCCCUGAAAUCUGAGCUCAGGCCAACCAACCUUGUUUCCAUUUUGUAGCACUUGACUGGAGGAACAGGAAAAUAUUGUAGUCAGAAAUGACUUAUUUGAGCAAGACAUUUGCCAGGAGUCUCUCAUGACAUCCUUGUGUACAGGAAAUGUGGACUGCUGAUUCCAGGAUCCGCUGUGUUCCAGUUUUCACUACAUAAGACUUCAGUCUCAAAGGUGCAAAGAAAUAAAAUGAUCGUAACAGAAAUACUUAGAAAUGAACUUUUAAAAAAAACUAAUGACUUUUUGAUGUGAGAUAGUCACACUCAAAUAUCUUUCCUCACUUGGGUUAGUUUGCUAGGAUGGCAAUAACAAAAUAUCACAGACUGGGGGACUUAAACAAGAGAAAUUUAUUUUCUCACAGCUCUGGAGGCUGAAGUCCAAGGUCAAGGUAUCAACAGCGUUGGU